UAAUUUUGUUCAGUUGAAGUGUCCUUAGU
This 29-nucleotide non-coding RNA is filed under the name Rattus norvegicus (Norway rat). The record is from RNAcentral. Lineage: Eukaryota; Metazoa; Chordata; Mammalia; Rodentia; Muridae.